UAGGGAAUCUUCCGCAAUGGGCGAAAGCCUGACGGAGCAACGCCGCGUGAGUGAUGAAGGUCUUCGGAUCGUAAAACUCUGUUAUUAGGGAAGAACAAAUGUGUAAGUAACUAUGCACGUCUUGACGGUACCUAAUCAGAAAGCCACGGCUAACUACGUGCCAGCAGCCGCGGUAAUACGUAGGUGGCAAGCGUUAUCCGGAAUUAUUGGGCGUAAAGCGCGCGUAGGCGGUUUUUUAAGUCUGAUGUGAAAGCCCACGGCUCAACCGUGGAGGGUCCUUGGAAACUGGAAAACUUGAGUGCAGAAGAGGAAAGUGGAAUUCCAUGUGUAGCGGUGAAAUGCGCAGAGCUAUGGAGGAACACCAGUGGCGAAGGCGACUUUCUGGUCUGUAACUGACGCUGAUGUGCGAAAGCGUGGGGAUCAAACGGG
This 429-nucleotide ribosomal RNA is filed under the name Actinomycetes bacterium. Its description in RNAcentral is "Actinobacteria bacterium partial 16S ribosomal RNA". It matches the Rfam family "Bacterial small subunit ribosomal RNA", at positions 355 to 776 of the family's 1533-position model. Lineage: Bacteria; Bacillati; Actinomycetota; Actinomycetes. The record is from RNAcentral.